CCUACGGGAGGCAGCAGUAGGGAAUUUUCCGCAAUGGGCGAAAGCCUGACGGAGCAAUACCGCGUGAGGGAUGAAUGCCUAUGGGUUGUAAACCUCUUUUUUCAGGGAGGAACACAAUGACGUGUACCUGAAGAAUAAGCAUCGGCUAACUCCGUGCCAGCAGCCGCGGUAAGACGGAGGAUGCAAGUGUUAUCCGGAAUCACUGGGCGUAAAGCGUCUGUAGGUGGUUUAAUAAGUCAACUGUUAAAUCUUGAGGCUCAACCUCAAAAUCGCAGUCGAAACUAUUAGACUAGAGUAUAGUAGGGGUAAAGGGAAUUUCCAGUGGAGCGGUGAAAUGCGUAGAUAUUGGAAAGAACACCGAUGGCGAAGGCACUUUACUGGGCUAUUACUGACACUCAGAGACGAAAGCUAGGGUAGCAAAUGGGAUUAGAUACCCCGGUAGUC
RNAcentral lists this ribosomal RNA (444 nucleotides) under uncultured bacterium. RNAcentral describes it as "bacterial SSU rRNA". It matches the Rfam family "Bacterial small subunit ribosomal RNA", at positions 338 to 795 of the family's 1533-position model. The record is from RNAcentral.